AUUCCCCUAUUGUUUUCUUGUCUAUGCCUGGAGUGUAGCGAAAGAAGUGACCAUGAGCCUUUGGAUCAGGAGGAUCAGAGAUUAACUUGGCAUGUUUCAAGUACUCAAGACCCUUUUUGUUAUCACGGUUGAAAUGGUUUGCAGCAAUUAGCAGUUUCUUUUUCUGAAGUCUUCUCAGCCUUACAUGUUCCACCCAAGCUUCCAAGUAUUUUUCUCUAUCCAUCUCCUCCCAAAAGGGUCUAUACUCAGGCAAUUGAAUUGAGUAUGCACCUACAGAACCUGAAGAACCAUCUUUGUCAAUGUUAUCUGCAAUGUUAUGAAUCAUGAUCAAUAGUCCUUCAAAGGCUUGAAUGUGGAGACUUGUGACAUGCCCAUUCAGUGCAAAUGAGUGCUUGCAAAGCAGCCUCCCAAUCUCCUCAAACACAUUCCGACAACUUGGAUCACAAUCAAAGUUUGCAUACGCUUCAACUAUGAAUGUUGGCUGUCUGCAGAAGUUUAUUAUUCCUUCAAUUGCUACUUCUUGAAGCGCAAUUGUGCUCCCAAAACUUGCAACUCUGAACAGCACGUAUGAAAAGAAUGCUUCCAGUUGGAAUCGGAUAGACCUACAAACACAAAAAAAAACAAAGGUUGUAGUGAGAGUGGAAGAGACCGAGUACGAAGGAAAUGAGAGGACACAGGGAAUGAUGGGAAAAAAUAUUGCCGAAUUGUUUGGUAAAGAAGUGGUAGAGUUAAUUUGCUUUUUCUUGUAUUGUAUAGGUGCAAUUUUUCUAUGGUUAGAAAUUGAUAUUUCAUGAGGA
Vigna angularis (adzuki bean) is the source of this 797-nucleotide long non-coding RNA. RefSeq lists it as uncharacterized. The record is from RefSeq and is a predicted model, not a curated record. The transcript has 2 exons. Lineage: Eukaryota; Viridiplantae; Streptophyta; Magnoliopsida; Fabales; Fabaceae.